AUUGAACGCUGGCGGCAGGCCUAACACAUGCAAGUCGAACGGUAACAGGAAGCAGCUUGCUGCUUUGCUGACGAGUGGCGGACGGGUGAGUAAUGUCUGGGAAACUGCCCGAUGGAGGGGGAUAACUGCUGGAAACGGUAGCUAAUACCGCAUAACGUCGCAAGACCAAAGAGGGGGACCUUAGGGCCUCUUGCCAUCGGAUGUGCCCAGAUGGGAUUAGCUAGUAGGUGGGGUAACGGCUCACCUAGGCGACGAUCCCUAGUUGGUCUGAGAGGAUGACCAGCCACACUGGAACUGAGACACGGUCCAGACUCCUACGGGAGGCAGCAGUGGGGAAUAUUGCACAAUGGGCGCAAGCCUGAUGCAGCCAUGCCGCGUGUAUGAAGAAGGCCUUCGGGUUGUAAAGUACUUUCAGCGGGGAGGAAGGGAGUAAAGUUAAUACCUUUGCUCAUUGACGUUACCCGCAGAAGAAGCACCGGCUAACUCCGUG
RNAcentral lists this ribosomal RNA (490 nucleotides) under uncultured bacterium. RNAcentral's name for it is "partial 16S ribosomal RNA". It matches the Rfam family "Bacterial small subunit ribosomal RNA", at positions 30 to 507 of the family's 1533-position model. The record is from RNAcentral.